GGUCUCCCUCAGACACAUAGAUUGGAAAACCUGGGAAACAUUCAAUAGCACAGAGGGUGCCAUGGCCGCCUUCACCAUCACAGCAGGGGCUCCUCCUCCAAAGACAGCUCCGGGAGAUGGUCUCCCUCAGACACAUGGAUUGGAAAACCUGGGAAACAUUCAGUAGAACAGAGGGUGCCAUGGUGGCCUUCAUCUGCACAGCAGGGGGUCCUCCUCCAAAGGCAGCUCAGCACACAUGGUCUCUCUCAGAACAUAUGGACUGGAAAACCUGGUAAACAAUCAAGAGAUCAG
Sarcophilus harrisii (Tasmanian devil) is the source of this 291-nucleotide long non-coding RNA. Lineage: Eukaryota; Metazoa; Chordata; Mammalia; Dasyuromorphia; Dasyuridae. The record is from Ensembl.